Molecule: long non-coding RNA, 1096 nt
Organism: Meleagris gallopavo (turkey)
Lineage: Eukaryota; Metazoa; Chordata; Aves; Galliformes; Phasianidae
Source: RefSeq, a predicted model, not a curated record
CCCCAGCAGCACGGUGUUCACCAGGACCAGAGUACUCUGCCAAAAAUGAGAUGCUGUCCUGUAUCAAAACCCAAUUCUAGCUUCUGCCGAGUCUGACCAGUCUUGGGUCUUGAGCCAGAAUGAUUUUUUGGGAGGAAAUUCCACAUUUGGGAGGGAAAGGAUGAAGUAGUUAUAAAAGGGUCAGCUUGCCAGAUGAAAAAAAAAAGAGGCAGUUGUAUGAACAGAAUGGAGGAAAGCAUUUCCUGGGUCACUGAGUUUUAUCCGGAGCUACCUAAAGGAACUAAUUCCCACAUCACCAUUCACCAAGCAACCAAGCUCUUGCAGCAGGCAGAAGCAUGAGGAUCACCUCAACACCACGUCCCCCUCUGCAAAGGUGCAACACUCAAUGCAGCAUCGCUGAAAUGCACACGCUGGGCUGAGCUGCAGCUCUCCCAUCCCUCAGCACACCGGGGCUAUCUGCACCUCCUGCCCACUCAUCUUCCUGCUCCGGCCACGCCAACCCGCUCCGGCCUUGCCGAGCGAUAAACCCUUGGCCUCUCGCGUUCGUCUGGCCGAUAAGGGCCGGCGGUUUAUCGGAGGAAACACUCGCGCUCGCAGGGAUGGCCUCCACACCGCGGCCGAUUAAUCCGAGUUGAGUGCACUUCCUUCGGCCAGGGGACACCAAUUACCGCGAAGGCACCGGCAGCACAAUGCAGGCGAACAUCUGACAGCCCGGGUCCUGCCAGCUCCGCAUUGUCCUCCCGUCAGGCGCUGUCAGUUCCCAGCCUUAAUUACAUCCUGUUUACAAACACUCGGCCGGACUUCAGAUGGAGCCUUAACAAAGGUUGACAAAGGUCAGGGCCACGUCACGGGAUGUUAUCUGUCUGUGUGCUCGGGCAGAUAAACUAGGGGGCUGAUUUCGGAGAUAGCACAGGGAAUGCGCCGGGGCCAUGAGAAUGUCGGAGGUGUUGGGGUCGGAGGUGUUGGGGUUGGAGGUGUUGGGUUGAGGUGUUGAGGUCCUGGCACCAGGCUGGCUUGAACCAUUCUUGUGCAUAUCUGCCUUAUUUUGUUAUUCUUUAACCAACCAAGCUAAGUAACAUUUCUAUAAGUUACUUUC